CAGCCGCCGCGGUAAUACGUAGGGGGCGAGCGUUACCCGGAUUCACUGGGCGUAAAGGGGGCGUAGGCGGCUCGGUAAGUCGGGUGUGAAAUCCCACGGCUCAACCGUGGAAUUGCGCCCGAAACUGCCGAGCUUGGGGCCGGUAGAGGGAGACGGAACUGCCGGUGUAGGGGUGAAAUCCGUAGAUAUCGGCAGGAACGCCGGUGGGGAAGCCGGUCUCCUGGGCCGCGCCCGACGCUGAGGCCCGAAAGCUAGGGGAGCAAACCGGAUUAGAUACCCGGGUAGUCCUAGCCGUAAACGAUGCCCACUAGGUGUGGGGGAGUAUUUCCUCCGUGCUGUAGCUAACGCGUUAAGUGGGCCGCCUGGGGAGUACGCCCGCAAGGGUGAAACUUAAAGGAAUUGGCGGG
This 407-nucleotide ribosomal RNA is filed under the name uncultured microorganism. RNAcentral's name for it is "bacterial SSU rRNA". It matches the Rfam family "Bacterial small subunit ribosomal RNA", at positions 509 to 917 of the family's 1533-position model. The record is from RNAcentral.